Molecule: ribosomal RNA, 524 nt
Filed under: uncultured Chloroflexota bacterium
Lineage: Bacteria; Bacillati; Chloroflexota
Description: bacterial SSU rRNA
Rfam family: Bacterial small subunit ribosomal RNA
Source: RNAcentral
UAGGGAAUAUUGCACAAUGGGCGCAAGCCUGAUGCAGCAACGCCGCGUGCGCGAAGAAGGCCUUCGGGUUGUAAAGCGCUUUCUGGAGGAAGAGGAAGGACGGUACUCCAGGAAGAAGGAUCGGCUAACUACGUGCCAGCAGCCGCGGUAACACGUAGGAUCCGAGCGUUAUCCGAAUUUACUGGGCGUAAAGCGCGUGUAGGCGGCUGGGUAAGUUGGACGUGAAAUCUCCCGGCUCAACUGGGAGGGGUCGUACAAGACUGCCUGGCUAGAGGGCGGUAGAGGGAGGUGGAAUUCCCGGUGUAGUGGUGAAAUGCGUAGAUAUCGGGAGGAACACCAGUGGCGAAAGCGGCCUCCUGGACCGCCCCUGACGCUCAGACGCGAAAGCUAGGGGAGCGAACGGGAUUAGAUACCCCGGUAGUCCUAGCCGUAAACGAUGUGGACUGGGCGUCGGUGGGGUAAAAUCCGCCGGUGCCGAAGCCAACGCGAUAAGUCCACCGCCUGGGGACUACGGCCGCAAGGUU